ACGAACGCUGGCGGCAUGCCUAAUACAUGCAAGUCGAACGAGACCUUCGGGUCUAGUGGCGCACGGGUGCGUAACGCGUGGGAAUCUGCCCUUGGGUUCGGAAUAACAGUUGGAAACGACUGCUAAUACCGGAUGAUGACGUAAGUCCAAAGAUUUAUCGCCCAGGGAUGAGCCCGCGUAGGAUUAGCUAGUUGGUGGGGUAAAGGCCUACCAAGGCGACGAUCCUUAGCUGGUCUGAGAGGAUGAUCAGCCACACUGGGACUGAGACACGGCCCAGACUCCUACGGGAGGCAGCAGUAGGGAAUAUUGGACAAUGGGGGCAACCCUGAUCCAGCAAUGCCGCGUGAGUGAUGAAGGCCUUAGGGUUGUAAAGCUCUUUUACCCGAGAUGAUAAUGACAGUAUCGGGAGAAUAAGCUCCGGCUAACUCCGU
This 431-nucleotide ribosomal RNA is filed under the name uncultured bacterium. RNAcentral describes it as "bacterial SSU rRNA". It matches the Rfam family "Bacterial small subunit ribosomal RNA", at positions 29 to 506 of the family's 1533-position model. The record is from RNAcentral.